Passer domesticus (house sparrow) is the source of this 176-nucleotide long non-coding RNA. RefSeq lists it as uncharacterized. The transcript is spliced from 3 exons. NCBI's taxonomy places the organism in Eukaryota, Metazoa, Chordata, Aves, Passeriformes, Passeridae. The record is from RefSeq and is a predicted model, not a curated record.
GGACAGCUCCUGCUCCAUCCCAGGGACAGGGACAGGGACAGCUCCAGGAGCUGCUCCCAGGGCUGCUGGGGCUCCUCCCAGGGACAGGGACAGGGACAGCUCCUGCUCCAUCCCAGGGACAGGGACAGGGACAGGGACAGCUCCUGCUCCAUCCCAGGGACAGGGACAGCUCCUGC